Molecule: ribosomal RNA, 867 nt
Filed under: uncultured bacterium
Lineage: Bacteria
Description: bacterial SSU rRNA
Rfam family: Bacterial small subunit ribosomal RNA
Source: RNAcentral
AGAGUUUGAUCAUGGCUCAGAUUGAACGCUGGCGGCAGGCCUAACACAUGCAAGUCGAGCGGAUGAAGAGAGCUUGCUCUCUGAUUCAGCGGCGGACGGGUGAGUAAUGCCUAGGAAUCUGCCUGGUAGUGGGGGACAACGUCUCGAAAGGGACGCUAAUACCGCAUACGUCCUACGGGAGAAAGCAGGGGACCUUCGGGCCUUGCGCUAUCAGAUGAGCCUAGGUCGGAUUAGCUAGUUGGUGAGGUAAUGGCUCACCAAGGCGACGAUCCGUAACUGGUCUGAGAGGAUGAUCAGUCACACUGGAACUGAGACACGGUCCAGACUCCUACGGGAGGCAGCAGUGGGGAAUAUUGGACAAUGGGCGAAAGCCUGAUCCAGCCAUGCCGCGUGUGUGAAGAAGGUCUUCGGAUUGUAAAGCACUUUAAGUUGGGAGGAAGGGUUGUAGAUUAAUACUCUGCAAUUUUGACGUUACCGACAGAAUAAGCACCGGCUAACUCUGUGCCAGCAGCCGCGGUAAUACAGAGGGUGCAAGCGUUAAUCGGAAUUACUGGGCGUAAAGCGCGCGUAGGUGGUUUGUUAAGUUGGAUGUGAAAGCCCCGGGCUCAACCUGGGAACUGCAUUCAAAACUGACAAGCUAGAGUAUGGUAGAGGGUGGUGGAAUUUCCUGUGUAGCGGCGAAAUGCGUAGAUAUAGGAAGGAACACCAGUGGCGAAUGCGACCACCUGGACUGAUACUGACACUGAGUGCGAAAGCGUGGGGAGCAAACAGGAUUAGAUACCCUGGUAGUCCACGCCGUAUACGAUGUCAACUAGCCGUUGGGAGCCUUGAGCUCUUAGUGGCGCAGCUAACGCAUUAAGUUGACCG